Vicia faba (fava bean) is the source of this 303-nucleotide non-coding RNA. Lineage: Eukaryota; Viridiplantae; Streptophyta; Magnoliopsida; Fabales; Fabaceae. The record is from the annotation of a GenBank genome assembly.
AUGGACAAGUAUUUCAGCUCUGCUUAUCGCGGCGACCCAGGCGUUCCCCAUGCCGACCCCCACCGUUUCGUCAACAUUUGGAUCGGAUCCCUUGCCUUCACCGCCAUGAACUGCAUCAAUCCCUACUUUUGGCACACCGGUUCCACCACCUUCAACUGGCAUGAUAGGGUAAUGCUAUUUGAGCAAUAUCAUUGGAAAAGAGCGAUGAAGAAGAACCAGCCAUAUGAGUUCAUGUGGAACAAGACAUGGGACAAGGCACACCGGGAUUCAUACUACUUCAAUUGGCCUAUUUACUUCACUUAG